This 264-nucleotide long non-coding RNA is filed under the name Elaeis guineensis (African oil palm). RNAcentral's name for it is "long non-coding RNA (EGUI_LNC029056)". The record is from RNAcentral. Lineage: Eukaryota; Viridiplantae; Streptophyta; Magnoliopsida; Arecales; Arecaceae.
GCCUUUUAUCUGUUGGUGGAUUAUCGUUGGAAGAAAUUAUUUAGUAGAUCAGGUCCACCGUGGAUUUAGAAUGAAAUUUUUUUUUUUUCGUAUAAUUAUAACAUGAUGUAGGAUGAUUUUAUUCUAGAUCCAUUGUGGAUCUCACCUAUAUGAUAACAUCUUUAUAGCCGGACCCAACCUCCUCAGCUUGCUUGACAUGGGUUGGGUUCAACCAGGCUCACACGCGCUUGUUGAAUCGCCUCGUCGUCCUCCUUCGGCCCCGGG